GACGAACGCUGGCGGCGUGCUUAACACAUGCAAGUCGAACGGUAAGGCCCUUCGGGGUACACGAGUGGCGAACGGGUGAGUAACACGUGGGUGAUCUGCCCUGCACUUCGGGAUAAGCCUGGGAAACUGGGUCUAAUACCGGAUAGGACCACUGCCUGCAUGGGUGGUGGUGGAAAGCUUUUGCGGUGUGGGAUGGGCCCGUGGCCUAUCAGCUUGUUGGUGGGGUGAUGGCCUACCAAGGCGACGACGGGUAGCAGGCCUGAGAGGGUGACCGGUCCGACUGGGACUGAGAUGCGGCCCAGACUCCUACGGGAGGCAGCAGUGGGGAAUAUUGCACAAUGGGCUCAAGCCUGGUGCAGCGACGCCGCGUGAGGGAUGACGGCCUUCGGGUUGUAAACCCCUUUCAGCACCGACGAAGCGCAAGUGACGGUAGGUGCAGAAGAAGGACCGGCCAACUACGUGCCAGCCGCCGCCGUAA
Molecule: ribosomal RNA, 478 nt
Filed under: uncultured bacterium
Lineage: Bacteria
Description: partial 16S ribosomal RNA
Rfam family: Bacterial small subunit ribosomal RNA
Source: RNAcentral